GCCGUCUGACGCCGCUUCGCCUCGUUCCUGCUGGGUUUUCCCCGCCGCUGCCUGAGCAAGAGGAGCAGCGGCCGCGGCAGCAGUGACUGACCGGGCGGUGCGGUGCUCGGUGCCCGCCCAGCGCGGGGUUUCGCCUCACUGCACAGUCAGUGUGUGUCCCUGGUGCCGCAGCCUGACUCAAACCGAGCUUCAAACCCAGCUGCCUGCUUCAAACCGUGAGUGAGACGACAGAGCCGAUGCAACGUUCAUUAUUGACUUGCCCGGGACGUGAGAAGCAAGUGCCUGACAGCCGAGGAUGGUAGACUAGCAAGCAGCGGGGAUUUCCUGUGUUUUGGAAUUUUAACAUCAGCACCACUUGUAAUCUCUAGACAGCUGUGGCUAAAGGCGAAAAUGAAAGUUCUCUACAUGAUAAACCAAAACACUAGGAAUCAGCUAUGAGUAUUUUAAAGGGCUGAGAUUUCAGGAGGUAGUUCUGUUGCUUCAUCUGAUACACAAGUUUGCCUAAAGACACCCUACUUUGUAGUAAUAGGAUUCUGGCUUCCGCCCACCUUCAAAGCACGGAAAUUCAUCUGGAGUAGGAAGCAAACCCUUCCGGCCUCCUGAGCAGUAAGAGAUGCAGGGGACAGGAGUGAGAAGAGACAUUGUCUUCAUCAAAAUACCCUAAUUUGCCCAAGACAUGUCUU
RNAcentral lists this long non-coding RNA (683 nucleotides) under Columba livia (rock pigeon). RNAcentral describes it as "partial uncharacterized LOC102096871". The record is from RNAcentral. Lineage: Eukaryota; Metazoa; Chordata; Aves; Columbiformes; Columbidae.